This 317-nucleotide long non-coding RNA is filed under the name Sander lucioperca (pikeperch). RNAcentral describes it as "lncRNA (ENSSLUG00000018840.1)". The record is from RNAcentral. Lineage: Eukaryota; Metazoa; Chordata; Actinopteri; Perciformes; Percidae.
AUGAUUCAGCAAGAGACAGAGGAAAGAAGUGAAACUCCAAUGGUCCCACCCAGACCAACUGAAGAGGAGAUGAAGAGGACGUCCACAUACAACAAAGUAAAAGCAAAAGGAACUGAGGAUAAUCAGGAUAACCAGGCUAUGAUCUCCAGAUCUGCUAGAGCAUCAGAGGAGGAGCUGAGCAGUACAGCGGGACAAAAGCAGAAGAGCAACCAUCAGAGCCAAUCAGAUGGCGAAGGCCUCAAAAAAGAUGAAUCUGCAGAAGCCGAAGAGGAAGAAGAGGUGAACCCCCCAGAAAGCAAAACAGUAAGUUAAUCCCA